Non-coding RNA from Ictidomys tridecemlineatus (thirteen-lined ground squirrel), 63 nucleotides. Lineage: Eukaryota; Metazoa; Chordata; Mammalia; Rodentia; Sciuridae. The record is from Rfam.
GGGGAUGUAGCUCAGUGGGAGAGCACUUGCCUGGAAAGUGCAAGGCCUUCAGUUUCAUCCCCA